Pogoniulus pusillus (Red-fronted tinkerbird) is the source of this 407-nucleotide long non-coding RNA. RefSeq lists it as uncharacterized. Lineage: Eukaryota; Metazoa; Chordata; Aves; Piciformes; Lybiidae. The transcript is spliced from 3 exons. The record is from RefSeq and is a predicted model, not a curated record.
UUUCGCCCUCCCUGCCUCCAUCGCCCUCCCGCGCCCGCUGCUCUACGGCUCGCUACGCGCCCCGGGCCCCCGGGGGCAGUCGGGACCUUCGCCUAGGCUCCGCUCGCAGGGGGCUACGGUGCACUAACUCUUACCCCUGCAGGAGCCGGGCUGGGAGCAGAGACCGCACCCCGGGGAGGAUGAACGCACUGCACCUGCCGGCUGGGCGACAACUCCUGCAGUGCCUACAACUUUUAUAAGCAGAGGAAAGCCCCGGGCAAGAUGCAGAGCUCACCAUGCAGACGUCUGGGCUAAGCUCUUAUUGGCAUGCACAUCCUUCCUGAGUUAUUCUGGGGAGAAGGAAUUGCUUUGGCUGUGUGCUUGGGGCUUCUCCUGGACUGACUUAAGAAAAAGGGUUGCAAAUGUUA